GCCUAUAUGGUGUAGUGGUGACUAUGCACCUCCAGACAGGUAUGGCUGAAAAUGGUAAGGUCUUGGGUUCGAUUCCCGGUCCAGGUA
Molecule: non-coding RNA, 87 nt
Organism: Coprinopsis marcescibilis
Lineage: Eukaryota; Fungi; Basidiomycota; Agaricomycetes; Agaricales; Psathyrellaceae
Source: the annotation of a GenBank genome assembly